GAUGAACGCUGGCGGCAUGCCUAAUACAUGCAAGUCGAGCGAACGGACGAGAAGCUUGCUUCUCUGAUGUUAGCGGCGGACGGGUGAGUAACACGUGGAUAACCUACCUAUAAGACUGGGAUAACUUCGGGAAACCGGAGCUAAUACCGGAUAAUAUUUUGAACCGCAUGGUUCAAAAGUGAAAGGCGGUCUUGCUGUCACUUAUAGAUGGAUCCGCGCUGCAUUAGCUAGUUGGUAAGGUAACGGCUUACCAAGGCAACGAUGCAUAGCCGACCUGAGAGGGUGAUCGGCCACACUGGAACUGAGACACGGUCCAGACUCCUACGGGAGGCAGCAGUAGGGAAUCUUCCGCAAUGGGCGAAAGCCUGACGGAGCAACGCCGCGUGAGUGAUGAAGGUCUUCGGAUCGUAAAACUCUGUUAUUAGGGAAGAACAUAUGUGUAAGUAACUGUGCACAUCUUGACGGUACCUAAUCAGAAAGCCACGGCUAACUACGUG
RNAcentral lists this ribosomal RNA (497 nucleotides) under uncultured bacterium. RNAcentral's name for it is "partial 16S ribosomal RNA". It matches the Rfam family "Bacterial small subunit ribosomal RNA", at positions 28 to 507 of the family's 1533-position model. The record is from RNAcentral.